RNAcentral lists this transfer RNA (86 nucleotides) under Catenisphaera adipataccumulans. RNAcentral's name for it is "tRNA-Leu". The record is from RNAcentral. Lineage: Bacteria; Bacillati; Bacillota; Erysipelotrichia; Erysipelotrichales; Erysipelotrichaceae.
GAGGCCGUGGUGGAAUCGGUAGACACGCAGCUUUGAGGGGGCUGUGAGGUUAUCUCGUGUGCGUUCAAGUCGCAUCGGCCUCACCA